GAUGAAUGCUGGCGGCGUGCUUAACACAUGCAAGUCGAGCGGUAACGGGUCCUUCGGGAUGCCGACGAGCGGCGGACGGCUGAGUAACGCGUGGGAACAUGCCCCAAAGUGAGGAAUAAGCACCGGAAACGGUGUCUAAUGCCGCAUAUGGUCUUCGGAUUAAAGGAUUUAUCCGCUUUGGGAGUGGCCCGCGUUCGAUUAGGUAGUUGGUGAGGUAAAGGCUUACCAAGCCUACGAUCGAUAACUGGUCUGAGAGGAUGAUCAGUCAGACUGGAACUGAGAUACGGUCCAGACUCCUACGGGUGGCUG
RNAcentral lists this ribosomal RNA (309 nucleotides) under uncultured Candidatus Saccharibacteria bacterium. RNAcentral describes it as "bacterial SSU rRNA". It matches the Rfam family "Bacterial small subunit ribosomal RNA", at positions 28 to 351 of the family's 1533-position model. Lineage: Bacteria; Candidatus Saccharimonadota. The record is from RNAcentral.